GAGGAAUGGCAGAGUGGUCGAAUGCGGCGGUCUUGAAAACCGUUGACCCAAAAGGUCCGUGGGUUCGAAUCCUACUUCCUCC
RNAcentral lists this transfer RNA (82 nucleotides) under bovine gut metagenome. It matches the Rfam family "tRNA". From Rfam's summary of the family: Transfer RNA (tRNA) molecules are approximately 80 nucleotides in length. Their secondary structure includes four short double-helical elements and three loops (D, anti-codon, and T loops). Further hydrogen bonds mediate the characteristic L-shaped molecular structure. tRNAs have two regions of fundamental functional importance: the anti-codon, which is responsible for specific mRNA codon recognition, and the 3' end, to which the tRNAs corresponding amino acid is attached (by aminoacyl-tRNA synthetases). tRNAs cope with the degeneracy of the genetic code in two manners: having more than one tRNA (with a specific anti-codon) for a particular amino acid; and 'wobble' base-pairing, i.e. permitting non-standard base-pairing at the 3rd anti-codon position. The record is from RNAcentral.